AAGGCGACCAUGUUUCAUUGAUUUUGUUCUCUACGCGGCAAGAAGACACAGGAACAUAGGCAGACGCCUACUUCGUUGAUUGGAAGACAUUCAUUACAUUUUAUCGCCACCCGUGCAACGUUCACCGGCCAGGGCCUUCCAAAUGCUCACCGAAACGCGAUCCCUACAGGCUUGUAUGAAUAUUGGAGCUCCUUGUACGGCUUGGAAAUCAUCUAGAACUCGGCCUAUGGUGAUAGACAAUGAAGGCGAAAUAUGCAGUUUUUCAAAAGCUAGAGCUUGCUCCAAAAGCCCAACUGCGUAUAGUCAAACAGGAUCAAGGAUAAUAUUUCUGAAUCGUAUAUUUCUGGUACGAUCGAUAUCGAGCCAGCAAUCAAAGCCAAGAAUCCAGGAGAAACCAAUAGAUUUCGUCGUUGGAAGCCCGUGGAGUCCAAACAGGUCACCGUUACGAAAUUCGAGAAAUCUAAAACCACAAGAGCCUUCUUCCUAUUUAUUACGCUGUACAAUUGGAAUACUGUAGUUCAGUGUAACCGCAAACGCCAGCUUGCACAUCGAUCGUCCUACUUCCGUACACUUCGGUGAGUAUACUACACUUUUCGUUAAUUACUUCGAUUAGAGAACUAAAAACUAAAAACAAAAAAAAAUGAAAAAAAAAAAAAAAAUCAUCAUAAUAAUAAAUCUCUUAAGCCCAUUAGCCAUGGCUUAGAACAGCCAAUAGAUGGACACAUGAAGUGUGUGUGCGGACCAAAUUGUAAGGCGAUACCUAAACUUGGAGAGGGUUGAUGCGAUGUUGCGAAGGUUGGAAAAGCCCUGCAUGAACUGAUGAAACUGCGCAUGAUGGCAACGUGUGUGUUGAACCAGGACUACUGCAUGUGUAAGAGACUUGAGUAGAAAUAUUAGGAAACCUUAUUUGGGUCGAGUGUGAUACUCGACCUUUAUUUCGUGUUUCGUGUUUGUUUUCAGAAGUUUAAAGACCCUGGGCCGGGGCGGUACUGUCGCACCGACGGAUGUCGUCAGACGCCGUGUCUGGAGCCUAAAAUAAAAGCCUCUACACAGACGCUCUGCUCACGGUCGAGCUAAAAUAAAAGAGACCGAAGAAAGAGAUGAACCAAAAGACUGAACGAGCCCCUCCGUCUUUCGAUGAGCAGAGCCUCACAAAUUGUGAGAUCGAAAGAGAGAGGAGACUGGUGAUAUUUUCUUUUUGUUUUCUAGCAGGAUGGAAAGAAUGAAAGAAACCGGCAGAGAGAAAGAAGAAAGUCUUGACUCAUCGUGACCUUCUCUCGGAGAGAUCUGACGUCGUUUCUUGGUCAAAACUUUCUCUGUUGGUCUCGAAAUUAAAGUCGGCAGACAUGAUCUUUUCUUCUCUUCUUUCGAUUCUCUUCUUUCGAUUGGAUUUCAUUUUUCUUUUCCUUUUUUUUUCGUGUCUGAUUUAGGGCAAGGGGCCGUCUCAUGUCAAACACGAGCGGCUGCUUUCGAUUUCGUCUGUCCCUAUACCGGAACGGCAGUUUACCUGCAACACGAAUGUCGCACGAAUCGAAUCAACGACUUCCAUUUGAUCAGAGACCAAUAGCAACAAUAAAAAUAAAAAAAAAAAAAAAAAAAAAAAAAAAACAGCGAAUGAAUGAAACCAUCCACUCCCUUCUCACGAAGUCACGCCAUGCACAGGAUAAAUCCUAAUUUCAAUGUUCAGACCCUAAUCAAAACCUCGUCGGCCGUCUGGUAGACAAGUGAAAGAAUGUCAGCCGGAUAUAAUUCAUUCCAUGGUGAAGGACCUUCUUGGAUAGAUUCACGCCUGUAUUUUUCACAAUACACGAUUGGCAUCAAGGUCGUCAAACGACAUAAAGUUGCGGUCAAGUUAGUUUCUUUCUCAUCCGGUCUGACUGCUUUCUGAAAACGUAAAAAAAAAAAAAAAGACAAUAAGAACAUUCUCUCGGGAAUUGUCUGCCUGCCGACAAGGUGUACAGCCAGAACCCAAAACUGCAACUAUAUGCUCUGAGUUAUUGGUUCCCCUGGAAGAAAAAGAAAACAUGACUAAUUCUCACUGGUGAGUCAGACUACUUACGCCAACAAUAAUCCCACUCAAAAAAUUUUAAAAAGAACAAAAAAAAAAAAAAGGGCGUCGAACCUUUGUUGCGAUGAGCUUGAAAACUCAAACCUGUCGUCGGUCCAUGUUAUUUUUCGCGGAAAAUAAACAAAUACAAUUUGAAAUUUGACAAGCUUUCGACCCUGAACCGCCAGGAAUAAAUAGAUCAUCGACC
Daphnia carinata is the source of this 2255-nucleotide long non-coding RNA. RefSeq lists it as uncharacterized. Lineage: Eukaryota; Metazoa; Arthropoda; Branchiopoda; Diplostraca; Daphniidae. The transcript is spliced from 3 exons. The record is from RefSeq and is a predicted model, not a curated record.